AAAAACUACGCAGCGGUUAGUAAUCUGUAUUAAUUACAGACAAAAUCACACCGCUAAGAAACCAAAUAUGUCGCACCCAAAAACUUCUUCCCAGGAGCACCAGAGAUUAAACCCUCUGAGCAGUGCCGUGUCUGUGAGAAGUAGAGAUUCUGGUAGGAACUUGCCAAGCGAUCCGGUCCAUGCAGACUGCUGCGUUCGAUUGUUCGAAUCGUAUCUGUUCUGCCUACGGGCGGCAAAACAAGGUCGUGUUGACGAAAAUCGAGAACAACAAGUGAGAGCAACGAUUCGUGGAAAGAAAAGAUUCUCUUGCAUUCCUGCGCUGUUCAAAUCGGUAGAAUGACAUCUUCCGAAGAUCCAUUUGAAACGGCAGCAGGAGCUUCCUUCAAAGAUGAAUGUAGCAUUAAGUACAAAUUGUGAAAACAACGGUUCUUCCGGAAGUGCUAACAAGAAAGUGGAAGUUUUUGACUCUGACAAGCAUUCACUGAGGCAAAUUUGAAAGCCGCCGCUGGCUACCAGGAUACGGUCAAUGCGGUACAUAUUCAAAAUGAGUAAUUAUCCAGCUGAAGGACUCUGGAUUUUUGCAUUUCCUAAAGUAGUGGGAGGAAAUUUUGGUGUUAGUGUUCGCCAUGACAAUCUGCUUGCAAUAUCAUCCUGAAGACUAAUCCGAAUGGUCGAUUCAUACGGCAGCAUAUAAAUAUUAUUAUGAUCUACUCUCUGG
This is a long non-coding RNA of Uranotaenia lowii, 718 nucleotides long. RefSeq lists it as uncharacterized. NCBI's taxonomy places the organism in Eukaryota, Metazoa, Arthropoda, Insecta, Diptera, Culicidae. The record is from RefSeq and is a predicted model, not a curated record. The transcript has 4 exons.